This 957-nucleotide ribosomal RNA is filed under the name Russula sp. Its description in RNAcentral is "partial 28S large subunit ribosomal RNA". It matches the Rfam family "Eukaryotic large subunit ribosomal RNA", at positions 1 to 929 of the family's 3401-position model. Lineage: Eukaryota; Fungi; Basidiomycota; Agaricomycetes; Russulales; Russulaceae. The record is from RNAcentral.
AACCUUUUAGUAGCUGGUCUUUUUUCUUACCCGCUGAACUUAAGCAUAUCAAUAAGCGGAGGAAAAGAAACUAACAAGGAUUCCCCUAGUAACUGCGAGUGAAGCGGGAAAAGCUCAAAUUUAAAAUCUGGUGGUCUUUGGCCAUCCGAGUUGUAAUUUAGAGAAGCGUCUUCCGCGCUGGACCAUGCAUAAGUCUCCUGGAAUGGAGCGUCAUAGAGGGUGAGAAUCCCGUCUUUGGCAUGGACCCCCAGGGCUUCUGUGAUGCGCUCUCAAAGAGUCGAGUUGUUUGGGAAUGCAGCUCAAAAUGGGUGGUGAACUCCAUCUAAAGCUAAAUAUUGGCGAGAGACCGAUAGCGAACAAGUACCGUGAGGGAAAGAUGAAAAGCACUUUGGAAAGAGAGUGAAACAGUACGUGAAAUUGUUGAAAGGGAAACGCUUGAAGUCAGUCGCGUCGACCGAGACUCAGCCUUGCCUUGGCUUGGUGUACUUCUCGGCUGACGGGUCAGCAUCAAUUUCGAUCCUUGGAUAAUGGCAAGGGAAAGGUAGCACCUUUACAGGUGUGUUAUAGUCCUCUGUCGGAUGCAAGGGUUGGGAUUGAGGAACUCAGCACGCACCUUGUCGGUGUCGGGGCCUUGGCCUACGUUACGUGCUUAGGAUGCUGGCAUAAUGGCUUUAAACGACCCGUCUUGAAACACGGACCAAGGAGUCUAACAUGCACGCGAGUGUUCGGGUGGAAAACCCGUGCGCGUAAUGAAAGUAAAAGUUGGGACCUCUGUCGUGGAGGGCACCGACGCCCGGACCAGACCUUCUGUGACGGCUCUGCGGUAGAGCGUGUAUGUUGGGACCCGAAAGAUGGUGAACUAUGCCUGAAUAGGGUGAAGCCAGAGGAAACUCUGGUGGAGGCUCGUAGCGAUUCUGACGUGCAAAUCGAUCGUCAAAUUUGGGUAUAGGGCGAAAG